This 27-nucleotide non-coding RNA is filed under the name Homo sapiens (human). Lineage: Eukaryota; Metazoa; Chordata; Mammalia; Primates; Hominidae. The record is from RNAcentral.
UGAGACGUUCCUACAGAUGGAUGAGGU